Molecule: ribosomal RNA, 253 nt
Filed under: uncultured bacterium
Lineage: Bacteria
Description: partial 16S ribosomal RNA
Rfam family: Bacterial small subunit ribosomal RNA
Source: RNAcentral
UACGUAGGGACCGAGCGUUGUCCGGAUUCAUUGGGCGUAAAGAGCUCGUAGGCGGCUGUUCAAGUCGAACGUGAAAACUCGGAGCUCAACUCCGAGCCUGCGUUCGAUACUGGACGGCUAGAGUCUGGUAGGGGGAUCUGGAAUUCCUGGUGUAGCGGUGGAAUGCGCAGAUAUCAGGAGGAACACCGGUGGCGAAGGCGGCUCUCUAGUACGGUACUGACGCUGAGACGCGAAAGCGUGGGGAGCGAACAGG